This is a long non-coding RNA of Oncorhynchus tshawytscha (Chinook salmon), 2206 nucleotides long. The record is from Ensembl. NCBI's taxonomy places the organism in Eukaryota, Metazoa, Chordata, Actinopteri, Salmoniformes, Salmonidae.
GGGGUGAUUCUAUAGCUAGAGGACUCCUGUUAUCUCCAGGGGUGAUUCUCUAGCUAGAGGACUCCUGUUAUCUCCAGGGGGUGAUUCUAUAGCUAGAGGACUCCUGUUAUCUCCAGGGGUGAUUCUCUAGCUAGAGUCCUGUUAUCUCCUGGGGUGAUUCUACAGCUAGAGGAAUCCUGUUAUCUCCAGGGGUGAUUCUAUAGCUAGAGGACUCCUGUUAUCUCCAGGGGUGAUUCUAUAGCUAGAGGACUCCUGAUAUCUCCUGUUAUCUCCAGGGGUGAUUCUAUAGCUAGAGGACUCCUGUUAUCUCCUGUUAUCUCCAGGGGUGAUUCUAUAGCUAGAGGACUCCUGUUAUCUCCAGGGGUGAUUCUAUAGCUAGAGGACUCCUGUUAUCUCCAGGGGUGAAUCUAUAGCUAGAAGACUCCUGUUAUCUCCAGGGGUGAUUCUAUAGCUAGAGGACUCCUGUUAUCUCCAGGGGUGGAUCUAUAGCUAGAGGACUCCUGAUAUCUCCAGGGGUGAUUCUAUAGCUAGAGGAUUCCUGUUAUCUUCAGGGGUGAUUCUAUAGCUAGAGGACUCCUGUUAUCUCCAGGGGUGAUUCUCUAGCUAGACUCCUGUUAUCUCCAGGGGUGAUUCUAUAGCUAGAGGAAUCCUGUUAUCUCCAGGGGUGAUUCUAUAGCUAGAGGACUCCUGUUAUCUCCAGGGGUGAUUCUAUAGCUAGAGGACUCCUGAUAUCUCUUGUUAUCUCCAGGGGUGAUUCUAUAGCUAGAGGACUCCUGAUAUCUCCUGUUAUCUCCAGGGGUGAUUCUAUAGCUAGAGGACUCCUGUUAUCUCCAGGGGUGAUUCUAUAGCUAGAGGACUCCUGUUAUCUCCAGGGGUGAUUCUAUAGCUAGAGGACUCCUGUUAUCUCCAGGGGUGAUUCUAUAGCUAGAGGACUCCUGUUAUCUGCAGGGGUGAUUAUAUAGCUAGAGGACUCCUGUUAUCUGCAGGGGUGAUGCUAUAGCUAGAGGACUCCUGUUAUCUCCUGAUAUCUCCAGGGGUGAUUCUAUAGCUAGAGGACUCCUGUUUUCUCCAGGGGUGAAUCUAUAGCUAGAGGACUCCUGUUAUCUCCAGGGGUGAUUCUAUAGCUAGAGGACUCCUGUUAUCUCCAGGGGUGAUUCUAUAGCUAGAGGAAUCCUGUUAUCUUCAGGGGUGAUUCUAUAGCUAGAGGACUCCUUUUAUCUCCAGGGGUGAUUCUAUAACUAAAGGACUCCUGUUAUCUCCAGGGGUGAUUCUAUAGCUAGAGGACUCCUGUUAUCUCUAGGGGUGAUUCUAUAGCUAGAGGACUCCUGUUAUCUCUUGUUAUCUCCAGGGGUGAUUCUAUAGCUAGAGGACUCCUGUUAUCUCCAGGGGUGAUUCUAUAGCUAGAGGACUCCUGUUUUCUGCAGGGGUGAUGCUAUAGCUAAGGGACUCCUGUUAUCUCCUGUUAUCUCCAGGGGUGAUUCUAUAGCUAGAGGACUCCUGUUAUCUCCUUUUAUCUCCAGGGGUGAUUCUAUAACUAAAGGACUCCUGUUAUCUUCAGGGGUGAUUAUAUAGCUAGAGGAAUCCUGUUAUCUUCAGGGGUGAUUCUAUAGCUAGAGGACUCCUUUUAUCUCCAGGGGUUAUUCUACAACUAAAGGACUCCUGUUAUCUCCAGGGGUGAUUCUAUAGCUAGAGGACUCCUGUUAUCUCCAGGGGUGAUUCUAUAGCUAGAGGACUCCUGUUAUCUCUUGUUAUCUCCAGGGGUGAUUCUAUAGCUAGAGGACUCCUGUUAUUUCCAGGGGUGAUUCUAUAACUAAAGGACUCCUGUUAUCUCCAGGGGUGAUUCUAUAGCUAGAGGACUCCUGUUAUCUCCAGGGGUGAUUCUAUAGCUAGAGGACUCCUGUUAUCUGCAGGGGUGAUGCUAUAGCUAGAGGACUCCUGUUAUCUCCUGAUAUCUCCAGGGGUGAUUCUAUAGCUAGAGGACUCCUGUUAUCUCCAGGGGUGAUUCUAUAGCUAGAGGACUCCUGAUAUCUCCUGUUAUCUCCAGGGGUGAUUCUAUAGCUAAAGGACUCCUGAUAUCUCUUGUUAUCUCCAGGGGUGAUUCUAUAGCUAGAGGACUCCUGUUAUCUCCAGGGGUGAUUCUAUAGCUAGAGGACUCCUGAUAUCUCCUGUUAUCUCCAGGGGUGAUUCUAUAGCUAGAGGACUCCUG